RNAcentral lists this long non-coding RNA (280 nucleotides) under Capsella grandiflora. RNAcentral describes it as "long non-coding RNA (CGRA_LNC000290)". The record is from RNAcentral. Lineage: Eukaryota; Viridiplantae; Streptophyta; Magnoliopsida; Brassicales; Brassicaceae.
ACUUGUCUUUUCUUUUCUUGAAUCUCUAUUUGUAGAUUCUUGAUAUGCAUACCAGAAUAUAGUGAGCUCCAUAGGUAUGCUUAAAGGUUAAUGAAUGACUUCAUUAGUGGAAUGUUUUCAAAGUUCAGCAUAUGCUCUGGAGAUGCAUCUUCCUAUCUCUAGGGCCGAAACUUUAAGAAAAACUCUAGAAAUACAUAGAAGAAACUUCACCUGGGCUUUCGAGUUUUUAAGAUUACAUUAAGAAACCAACUUAUGAAGAGCAAAAAGAAAAAAACAGAAU